Non-coding RNA from Pelobates cultripes (western spadefoot toad), 902 nucleotides. NCBI's taxonomy places the organism in Eukaryota, Metazoa, Chordata, Amphibia, Anura, Pelobatidae. The record is from the annotation of a GenBank genome assembly.
GAAAAGAAUAACAGAUCCUGAGAGAGGGGGAGAAGAGGAAGAGAUUGAGGAAAGGUAAGUUCGGCAUGACAGUGCCGCUUUAAUAAGAGUUAACACAUCUAAGCCUGACUUACUCUUUCACAACUUCAGCACACAUUUCACCUUUCCCCCCCUGGCAACAUCUGACAGGACACAUUUUCAAAAUAACCUUUCCUUUUACAAUCCAAAAAAACAGUCCAGACAUCCAGAAAUGAAUCUGUAGAAAUAUUCUUCUUUUGAUUAUACUUUAAGAUGAUGGAUAAACAGCAAAAUGGCUGACGGCAUGUCAGUAGCAGGUUACAUAUGUUCACAUGCCCAAGAUGUUAUUUACCUUGCUAGGAUAUACCCACAUAUCACUGGCUGGUUGUUUGGUUCAGAUGUUCUCAGUUUAUGUGACAGUCACACUUAAGUCUGUUACUCUUCUUUUAAUGGCUUUAGACAGAUACAUAGCAAUCUGCAAGCCACUGCUCUACCAUAAAAUUGCAAACAAGUAUUUUUUCAUUCAGCUUCUGGUGUUAGGCCUACUUCGAAACAGUUUUAUUGCGGCUGUUGUAGUUACUCUGGCCUCCAAAGUCAAGUAUUGUAAGUCUAACAUUAUCUUGAACUUUGUUUGUGAAUAUAUUGUCCUUCUCAGUCUCGGCUGUGGUGAUGUGACCAAGCUUCAAAUUGUUGGACUAACAUUGAGGACUGUCGUCACCGUAUCUGAUCUCGGCAUCCUCCUGGUAUCUUACAUCAAGGUCCUGCACACAGCCAUGAAGAUUGCUGCAGGAAACGCUCGCCAGAAAGCAUUGCACACUUGUUUCACACACCUUCUAGUCGCAGUAUUAAUCUAUACAUUUGGUUUAUCUACUUCUAUUAUGUAUAAGGUGGAAAAGUUUAUAUCA